AUCCUUUAAGUAAGGGCUCUCCCACUCCUACCACGCGCCCCACAAGCGCGUUCCCCCAGCAUAUUCCUCUGCACAUACCGAAUCUAGCAACUUCUCGCUCGCUCUCUCUCCCUCUGAGUCUCAACUGCCCUUUGCCUUGCCGCUUUCCUAGGCUCCACAAAACAAAACAAAACAAAACUGAAUCUCUCUCUCUCUAAAGUGUGUGUUCUGUCAUUGUUUCGUUUGUUUGAUUAUAACACCCUUUUCUUGCAAAACCACUUCUGCGAAAACAUCCUUAAUAUCUGUUACGAAACUUGGUUCCUGGUUUCCCGGCAGCUCCCAAAGUGGUAUUGCUGGAGCCCCAGAUGGACAAAGAGCCUCUGCUACCGUAUCUAAGCCCAAGAAGAAAACCAACACCACCACCAUCGGUGCUAGCGCCACUCCCUGAAGAAAACGAGAUCUCUCUCCCUCUAACCCCUUCUGAGCUCAAAGACCGCCUCAUUUUUGGCCCUUCAUCUUCCCCACAAGAAUCCUCCCCUAUAGUCGAUGCCUUGACCCUUUCUCUCAGCUCCCCAAGACCCUCUCCUUCUUCUUCUUCAUCUUCUUUAGACCCCACUACCCCACAAGACUCUCAAUCACAAUCUUCACAGGCUUGGCUCAUCGACCCCAAUUAUCCUUCAUGGAACAGGACCAAUCUCCACCGUUCCAAAACAGCGCCGGCUAUGGCUGUUAUCAACGAAAUUAACAACCCUUCUUUGCCUAGACCACCAGUCGGGUCUCAUUCGAUUGUGGGCCAAGCGUGUAUUCUUCUUAUAUUGUAUUUAUCCUUGGGAGUGGUUAUAUAUUGGUUUAACAAGGACAAUUUCUCGGCGAAUGAGACGCACCCAGUUGUGGAUGCUCUGUAUUUUUGCAUUGUGACAAUGUGCACGAUUGGUUAUGGUGAUAUUACGCCGGCUAGCACAGCAACCAAGUUGUUUUCCAUAAUGUUUGUGUUGGUGGGGUUUGGUUUUAUUGAUAUUCUGCUCACUGGGAUGGUGAGCUAUGUGCUUGAUUUGCAGGAGAGUUAUUUGUUGAGGACUGUGAAGGGGAAGGUUGAGCAGGAUACGGCGAGGUCGUAUAUAGUAGAUGUGAAGAAGGGUAGGAUGAGGAUUAGGAUGAAAGUGGGAUUGGCAUUGGGGGUUGUGGUUCUUUGUAUUGGGGUUGGUGUUUGUGUAAUGCAUUUUGUGGAGAGGCUUGGGUGGUUGGAUUCGUUUUAUCUUUCGGUUAUGUCAGUUACGACAGUUGGGUAUGGUGACCGGGCCUUUCAGUCCUUGCCGGGAAGGAUUUUUGCUUCCAUUUGGUUGCUUGUAUCAACACUCGCGGUUGCUCGAGCGUUUCUGUAUUUGGCCGAGGCGAGAGUGGAUAAGCGGCAUAGGAGGAUGGCGAAGUGGAUUCUUGGUCAUAAUAUGACUGUCUCCGAGUUUCUUGCUGCUGACAUUGACAACAAUGGCUUUGUCAGUAAAUCAGAAUACGUAAUAUACAAGCUCAAGGAGAUGGGAAAGGUAUCAGAGAAAGAUAUUAUGCAGAUCUGCAACAAAUUUGAUAGACUAGACACUGGAAACUGUGGAAAGAUAACUCUUGCUGAUCUCAUGGAGAAUUAUCAUUGAUACACAAGAACAGCAGAUGAAGCAUGAUUGAUACAAGUGCGUGAAAAACUCCCGUGGUUUUGUUGCCCACUUGAUUGUACCGACCAGUUUAGACGAUGAAGGUCACUGAAUGUUCCAACUUGCUCUUACCCAUCAUGAUAUGUGUGGUAGAUCAGGAGUUUCAAUACGCGGAACAAUUUACUGCUGGAAGGUUCAGAUGGAGAGAAGGGGUCAUUGUGGUAGGGUGGGAGCGAAUCUUAGUGUUUAUUAGUGGUGACACAAACUGAAAAUGGUUUGACUGCUGACAAAGAUACGACCGGAGUUGAUUCAUGUUCUCUUUUCAGAGCACUUGAAAGCUAGUAAUCAUUCUGCUUGUGAUACUUGUAAGUACAAGCACCUCUCUUUUUUCCCCUCCCUCUCUCUCAAUAAGCAUUCACAUUUGUCUCAGCAAAUGUUUAGCUAAGAUUUAGUUAAAGAACAACUUUUUCUAUUUUAGGUACCCACUUUUUCAAAGCAUCUACAUCCGACUCAGCAUUUUAACUAUUCACUUUCACUAUUCCAUUUGAAAUAUUUUUUCUUUGUCUAUUUUCACUUUUCCAAAAGAGGAAGAGAGAAACAAAUUGAUUUUUCUAUUUUUUUUUUUUUUCAUGCAUUGUUAAGCUACGUUGCUCAACAAAUUUGCUGAGCACUGUAGUAGCUAGCUAAUUCCUUAGCCAAAGUGGCUUGCCAGAUGUCAAGGUUUUUUUGCUAUAGAACUGGCCAAAAUAACCUUUUGUAGCCCAAUGUUAAUGCUCUAAAGAGAGUUUUUUUUUUUUCU
RNA transcript from Alnus glutinosa, 2421 nucleotides. It is a transcript of the gene named two-pore potassium channel 3-like, with no coding region annotated. The transcript has 3 exons. NCBI's taxonomy places the organism in Eukaryota, Viridiplantae, Streptophyta, Magnoliopsida, Fagales, Betulaceae. The record is from RefSeq and is a predicted model, not a curated record.